GAGGGUUCUAAUGGGGGAGGUUUCCAUUGGGCUUUAAGGUCCGUACCGUCACGAUUAAGGCCCGUACCGUGACGAUUAAGGUCCGUACCGUGACGAUUAGUAAAGGAAAAAGGGUCAAGAUUGCAUUAUGCAGAUUACACCUCUUUACCUGGAGGUGUGUACUUCAGGGCAGCAAGGAGCUGUUGACCAUCAGUCAUCACUCAUCAGGCCAAGUGUUAUCAGAGCAACGAAGAAGAAGAAGGAGAAGAAGAAGAAGAGACGUGUUGAGGACAGAUUUUCUAGUCAGUUGAGAAAGAGUCAGAAACAUCCCUUUCCAUUAUAUUAAAUACUUAUUUGGUAUUUGAUGUAUAUUAGGCAUAUUCAUAGUGUUGAUUACGUAUUUACACAAUGACAACACUGGAGACAUUAAUGCC
Molecule: long non-coding RNA, 413 nt
Filed under: Salmo salar (Atlantic salmon)
Lineage: Eukaryota; Metazoa; Chordata; Actinopteri; Salmoniformes; Salmonidae
Description: lncRNA (ENSSSAG00000110369.1, ENSSSAG00020040831.1)
Source: RNAcentral